AUACCCUAUUAUUUUUAAUGUAAAGAUUUUAUGUAAGCUUGAGUAUUAAAAGUUAUAAUCUUGAAACUCAAAGAAUUUGGCGGUAUUAUAAUCUUUUUAGAGGAAUCUGUUAAGUAAUCGAUAGUCCACGUUGAACCUUACUUAUUUAAUUUUCUUGUAUAUCGCUGUUUAUGAAAAUACUUUUAGGUAAACAAAUUUUUUAAAUUAAUGAAUGUUUGAAUAUUUCAAGUCAAGGUGCGGAUUAUAUUUAAGUUGAAUAAUGGAUUACAAUAAAAUUUAUUUAAUUAAUGGAUUAUUAUUUGAAAGUGAUAAGUAAGGUGAAUUUAAUUGUAAUUUUAUAUAGAUUAUUAAAAUGAAUUUUAAGCUCUUUAAUAUGUACACAUCGC
RNAcentral lists this ribosomal RNA (386 nucleotides) under Macromusonia conspersa. RNAcentral describes it as "partial 12S ribosomal RNA". Lineage: Eukaryota; Metazoa; Arthropoda; Insecta; Mantodea; Thespidae. The record is from RNAcentral.